Long non-coding RNA from Scophthalmus maximus (turbot), 2926 nucleotides. RefSeq lists it as uncharacterized. Lineage: Eukaryota; Metazoa; Chordata; Actinopteri; Pleuronectiformes; Scophthalmidae. The transcript has 3 exons. The record is from RefSeq and is a predicted model, not a curated record.
GCUGAAGGCCAACAACAUGGCACACAACAGCUGAUCGACACAGUGUUUAAAAAAAGUCCUUUCACACCUUAUUUGAAUAAUCCUACAAACAACCUGAACCUCCAUCCAUCACCUGCAUCCCCGAAGGUCCCAAGGAGCUGGUCGGCCCCCUCGUGGCCCCACGUCCUCACAUUCAAUGGAGCCGCACAGAAUCUCACCUGCCCAGUAACUACGUAUGUAUGUUUUAAUCCUUUUUCACUUUUCACUCGUUCCAAGCUUCUCAAACGUGAUGAUUUGCUGAUUCUCCUUCCCCUUGUUUCCCUAAAUGUGAAGAUGUCCCCCGGCACCCUGAGGAUUCCCGAGGACCCAGUCCCAGUCUGUGUUGGUGCCCUUCACGUCAUCAACUUCCUCCCCUCACCUCCUCAUGGCCUGCGUCCCAGCAUGCAUUGCACCGGCCCAGGCUGCGGCGUUGCUCCGCCCCUCGGUCACAUGGGCCGCCGCUGCCGUCAGGAACAGGCUGUACAGCUGAGAGACACGUGUGUGUAGGUAAAGACACAAUAACACACACACUCAUAUCUUCAGCAUCUAAUGAAGAGGAGAACCUACCGCCCCCGACGACCCGCCCAUCUUCUCCUGCACCAGUCCUGCCAGGACCGAGAGGAGUCUCCCGGGGCAACCGGGGACCACGUGACCCUGGAGCCACUCCUGAAUGGCUGAAGGAAUUCAAGAAGUCGUUCAAUAUUCUAUAUAACCUGACCAAAAAAUCUCUUUUUUACAAUCCAUAUUCAGAGGUUCCCUACCUCUGGCUGCCUGUGCGUGAGUGUUGCCGCAAUCUCCGUCCCCGGCGGCGCGGUCCAGGGAGUUGAGUUCCUCUUGCUUCUCCAACAGGGUGGAACAAACCAUCUGGAGCACUUCACGCAUCACAGGACUCAGUGGGCCUGGACGAAAAGAAUGAAGACAGACAGACACAGUGACGACGAGCAAAUAAAACCAAAACUCCACAAUUUUAAAAGAAUCAACCAAGGAACCUUCUGCGUGUGUGUCGUCCUGCGGUCGUGUGCCCGCGCUCGGAGGAUCUGCGACGAAGCUGCGUCCGCUCACACACACGCUGCUGAGAUUGGGCCAGGCGGGGGCGCUGGUCUUAGCAUCUGUGUGGGAUAGAGGAAGGAUAUAGUACAGGUUCAAAAAAACAUACUGUCUGUAUAUUAUUAUGUAUAAUUAUUAUGUAUUUAUCCUUCUCCUCUGAGUGUGUUUGUUUCAGGUAAAGCAAGAAGAGAGAAUGAAUAACAAACUCACCAAACAGUCUCAGUGUUUCCUCGUUGGCGAGCAUCAGGGUCAGCGACACGCCCGCCAUCUCCAGUGACGUCAUGAAGGAGCCCGACAUCACCCGGGCAACCAGCACCCCGCGGUUCUCUGUAACCAACGGAGACCACGGCAUCGUCCUCUGAGGUUCUCCGUGGAUCCCUGAGAAGAAAAAAAAAAGGAUGGAAGACAUUUAGGAACGGUCACUUAAGCUCUCGCCCUCUUUUGUUCUCUCUCCCCUCCGUCCUUCUCAAUCAUAGUUUGGGUUUGAUAAGAGACUUCUGAGAGAUAUUUUUAUUACUCUUUCUCAGAAAGUCACAAAGAUCAGACCAAAACAAACUCCUUGUGAAGGUGUGAAAUACAUUUUUACAACGAUAGUUCUCGCGGCUAAUUGAAAAACUCUAUGAUUACAUAAUUUUCUUGAGGUUUAAUAUGAUUAAAUCUGCUGCAGUUUUUUUUGUAUCCACGACUGAAACAUCGGCCCGCAGCCCGACUCCGCUGGAGGUCAAAGGUGCUCGCAGGGCCACAAGAUCAUAUUUCCCUUCACCUCCAAUUGUAUCUGGAGGGAGACUGAGAUCUCAGGGACUAGAUAUACUCGACAUAAAAGAUGCGGGAAAACCAUAACUACGCAUUCGGUCAUUUGAGUAUCUGACAUCCCCCCUCCCCCCGGCUCAUCGUCGUCUCUUACCCAGGCCCAGCUCCAUGUCUCCGGGGGGCAGGUCAAACGAGGGCAGGCAGCCCGGGACGCUGCACGGAGACAGACUCACCCCGAGGGUACCUGGGAAAUACAACACCACCAACAAAAAGGAAAUUAUAAGGAGAAGUAGUAAUGAUGGAAUGAGUCGGUGAGGGGAGGGAUAACUCACCAGUCCCCUUUAAAACCUCGGUCACCUUGGCAACAAUCUGGUCCAAUGAGGAGCCUUCUUCUGCCAUCGCACCUGCCAGCUGACAGGAAGUGUGUGAAGGAAGGCAAUUUUUUUUAUUUAAUUAAGAAGAAACAAAUGACAAGACAAAUCAGAAGAAGAAAACAUCGAUGAUGGGAAUGAUGGGAAUGAUGGGAGUUUGAUCCACUACAAAUGUGGACAUCUUUCACAACUUUAUAUAUAUAUAUCAUGGUAUAUAUCACGGUAUAUAUCACGAACUGUCCUGCCGUCGUCUACCUUGUGCACAAAGACGGUGCCACACAGGCCCCUCCUCCCGGCCUUACCGGGCCGGUCAAAGGCGCAGUCCUCGGCAACGAUCACCACGUCGACGGCGACGCCACAGUUUCGGGCCUGCUCUGCGGCCAACCCGAAGUUGAGGCGGUCGCCGGUGUAGUUCUUCACGAUGAGGAGGACGCCGCAGGCUCCUGUGGAGAAAGGGAGGGGAGGUCGUUAUUAUGCAGUUAAUCUCCAUUUAAUUCCAUUAUUCUUCAAAUUAACAUGCACAGUUUGAAAGAGAGAAACUUUUACCUGCGUUAUGCAAAGACAAGAUGGCCGCCAGGAUGCUGGCAGGCGGUGGAGAUGCGAAGACUCCACCUGCUACUGCGGCCGACAGCAUUCCUGCCCCGACGUAACCUGGACACGCGAGGGGGGAAGGGGUGACAUAUAAAACCUUAAAACAAGAGAAUUAAAGAAACACCCUGGACCUACUGUACCCGCGUGUG